AAAACAAAAAAAAUCCAUGACACGAAGCAUGAAAUUGGAAGUGAAGCGAUUAUUUCAAUUUUCAGGCGGAGAAUUGCAGCCGCCCGUUCUCUUCUAAGUUAAAUGUGGAAUUCCGUAAUUGUUGGGGAAUGACACAAAUUAACAGAAAAAAUGAUUGGAUUGGAUUUGAGAGCGUUGUGAAACUGAAAGGAAUCAAUUAUAUCUGAUCAAAUGGAUGCAUUUGAUCGGAUCGGAGCACCUUCACGGCUGAAUCGGUUUUCCGCUUGGGGUUUUCGCAUUGCUUGCGUUCCUGCGGGCAGUGGCUGACAAGCGAAGCCCCAACGGAUAUCCUCACUUCAUAAGAGAACAAUUGCAUUCGUAGACCUUCACAAGCUAUCUGAAGAUUUUCAGACAAUGAACCAACCUCCUGUGAUGGAUGUUGGUUUGGUGCAAUUGUGUCAAAGUGAUUCAACCGAAAACCGAUCUGAAUUUGUUAAUCAUGGUCUUAUUCUCUGGAAUGAAACUAGACAGAAAUGGACUCAGAAACAGCCUCAAAAUCAAUCAAAACAGAUGUUUGAUCCCAAAUUGAGAACAUUGUCUCUCUGUUCGGCUACCAAGUGUUGGCCCUGCAGUUGGGAGUCGAACUCUAAGACCGUGCUUCGCAGCAACAAACCUUAUCGGCGUCCUAUCCCACUUCGCGAAAUGGUCGAAUUUCUGGUGGAUACUUGGGAAGAGGAAGGAAUGUUUUAGCAGAGAGAACUCUAAGCAACUCAGCAUAACUAUUUAUUCAAAAACUAUGCACCAUCUUCUUUUUUUUAAAUAAAAAAAUAUGGCACAUUAUUAAUUCAGGCCAAUCUUAGAACUGCAACUUCACUUGACUCAACUGCAUUCUGGCUUUUAUAUAUCAUGUCUCUGUUUCAGCUUUGAAGCAAAGAUUUGGGAAACACAAAGUAAGUAUCUUUGAAGUUCUCUAGAAAAAUAAAAUAAAAUAAAAUAAAAUCCCAAUUAGUUAAAAAUCCCAUGUGGUAAUUUUGCAUAAAAACAAAAAAAACCACAGCAAGUUGGAAGAUUCUCAGGUGGUCAUUUCCCAAUUAACCUUCACCAAUACCUAAAGAGAAGAGAAGAGAAGAGUGAUGGAUUUUUCAGGAAACAAGAAGCUAUUCACAAGUCUUGCCAUCACAGCAAUCUUGAUCCUCGUUUCUUUGAUCAACAUGGUGCCUCCUUCAACAGGUGGGAACUUGAAGGCAGGACCAAUGAACGAGAUUAAGCAACAGCUAAUUAAGAAGAAACAGGUGCUGGGAUCAAAGCCACCGUCAUGUGUGAACAGAUGGAAGAUGGCAGCUACUAUCUCCUCUCAUGGAAAUGCAGGUGUGGGAACAAGCUUUACCAGCCCUAGAGCCUCAUCAUCAUCAUCAUUGCUCAAUAUGUUAACUAAACCCACCCCGCCCCACCCCACCCCAAUAAACACGUACAUAUAUAUAUAUAUAAUCCCAACAAGCCCUUGAUUUGGUGUGAAUCAAUAAUGUCUGUUUAGGGUUUCUUUUUGAAGUGGUUCUUGAUCUCUAUCUGGUCUGGUUUGGUUAAUUUGUUUUUGUGUAUGUUAGUUCCUGUUCUAUUCAGUUUCUCACUGUAAUAUAGGGCCCUCUCUCUCGCUCUCUCUCUCUCUCUUCUAUUUGAUUGGACAUCUCCUCAGGUUAACUUUUUCUCCCUUUUGACACUCCAUAACAUAACAUGCAUCAUUGUAAGAACAUGGUCAGAAUUGGUGUACUACCCUUUCAUAAAAUACGACCAAAUGAACAAGGUGGUGUCAUGUCUGUUGGAGCCUUUGAUCAUUUCACUGUUUUCCACUCGACAAACAUCACUGUUUCUUGCAUUCCAUUAUUGCC
Andrographis paniculata is the source of this 1865-nucleotide long non-coding RNA. RefSeq lists it as uncharacterized. The record is from RefSeq and is a predicted model, not a curated record. The transcript is spliced from 8 exons. NCBI's taxonomy places the organism in Eukaryota, Viridiplantae, Streptophyta, Magnoliopsida, Lamiales, Acanthaceae.